CUGCUCGGGGGCGAUUUCAACAUGGUCACCACAUCCGCGGACACGAGCAACGGCUGUAUCAACCAGCGUACGACCAAUCGUUUCUGGUGCUUCAUCGCUGACCACGCCUUGCGCGACAUAUACAUGCAUGGGCGACGCUACACAUGGUCUAAUGAGCAGCAGAACCCUACCCUCGUCCGCAACGACCGCGUCCUG
Molecule: ribosomal RNA, 195 nt
Filed under: Triticum aestivum (bread wheat)
Lineage: Eukaryota; Viridiplantae; Streptophyta; Magnoliopsida; Poales; Poaceae
Description: partial small subunit ribosomal RNA
Source: RNAcentral